UACGGAGGGUGCAAGCAUUGAUCGGAAUUACUGGGCGUAAAGGGCGCGUAGGCGGCUAUAAAAGUCGGAUGUGAAAUUCCGGGGCUCAACCCCGGAGCUGCAUUUGAAACUCUAUGGCUAGAGUUCAGUUAGGGUAAACGGAAUUCCACGUGUAGCGGUGAAAUGCGUAGAUAUGUGGAAGAACACCAGUGGUGAAGACGGUUUACUGGGCUGAAACUGACGCUGAGGCGCGAAAGCAUGGGGAGCAAACAGG
RNAcentral lists this ribosomal RNA (253 nucleotides) under uncultured bacterium. RNAcentral's name for it is "partial 16S ribosomal RNA". It matches the Rfam family "Bacterial small subunit ribosomal RNA", at positions 524 to 776 of the family's 1533-position model. The record is from RNAcentral.